Molecule: unclassified non-coding RNA, 116 nt
Organism: Callithrix jacchus (white-tufted-ear marmoset)
Lineage: Eukaryota; Metazoa; Chordata; Mammalia; Primates; Cebidae
Rfam family: Metazoan signal recognition particle RNA
About the family: The signal recognition particle (SRP) is a universally conserved ribonucleoprotein. It is involved in the co-translational targeting of proteins to membranes.
Source: Ensembl
GCCAGGCGUGGUGGCUCACGCCUGUAAUCCAAGCACCUUGGAGGCUAACAUGGGCAGAUCACCUGAGGUCAGGAGUUCAAGACCAGCCUGACCAACAUGGUGAAACCCCGUCUUUU